CAGUAGCCACGGUAAUACGAAGGGUGCAAGCGUUAAUCGGAAUUACUGGGCGUAAAGCGUGCGUAGGCGGUGAGUUAAGUCUGCUGUGAAAUCCCCGGGCUCAACCUGGGAAUGGCAGUGGAUACUGGCUCGCUAGAGUGUGUCAGAGGAUGGUGGAAUUCCCGGUGUAGCGGUGAAAUGCGUAGAGAUCGGGAGGAACAUCAGUGGCGAAGGCGGCCAUCUGGGACAACACUGACGCUGAGGCACGAAAGCGUGGGGAGCAAACAGGAUUAGAUACCCGCGUAGUCCCUGUCUCUUAUAA
This 301-nucleotide ribosomal RNA is filed under the name uncultured bacterium. RNAcentral describes it as "partial 16S ribosomal RNA". It matches the Rfam family "Bacterial small subunit ribosomal RNA", at positions 509 to 809 of the family's 1533-position model. The record is from RNAcentral.